Molecule: ribosomal RNA, 459 nt
Filed under: uncultured bacterium
Lineage: Bacteria
Description: partial 16S ribosomal RNA
Rfam family: Bacterial small subunit ribosomal RNA
Source: RNAcentral
CUACGGGAUGCAGCAGUGAGGAAUAUUGGUCAAUGGGCGAAAGCCUGAACCAGCCAUGCCGCGUGAAGGAUGACGGCCCUAUGGGUUGUAAACUUCUUUUAUACGGGAAGAAACACCUCUACGUGUAGAGGUUUGACGGUACCGUACGAAUAAGCAUCGGCUAACUCCGUGCCAGCAGCCGCGGUAAUACGGAGGAUGCAAGCGUUAUCCGGAUUUAUUGGGUUUAAAGGGUACGUAGGCGGAAACUUAAGUCAGUAGUGAAAUCCCGCAGCUUAACUGUGGAACUGUUAUUGAUACUGGGUUUCUUGAAUAUUGUUGAGGUAGUCGGAAUAAGUAAUGUAGCGGUGAAAUGCUUAGAUAUUACUUAGAACACCGAUUGCGAAGGCAGCUUACUAAGCAAUUAUUGACGCUGAGGUACGAAAGCGUGGGGAGCGAGCAGGAUUAGAUACCCGCGUAGUC